UUCCAAGGGUAGCAUUGAUAGGAGUUGGU
Molecule: non-coding RNA, 29 nt
Filed under: Rattus norvegicus (Norway rat)
Lineage: Eukaryota; Metazoa; Chordata; Mammalia; Rodentia; Muridae
Source: RNAcentral